GGGUAUAUAGCUCAAGUGGUAGAGCGCAUGCUUAUGCACAGGGUCCUGGGUUCAAUUCCCAGUACCUCCU
RNAcentral lists this transfer RNA (70 nucleotides) under Camelus bactrianus (Bactrian camel). It matches the Rfam family "tRNA". From Rfam's summary of the family: Transfer RNA (tRNA) molecules are approximately 80 nucleotides in length. Lineage: Eukaryota; Metazoa; Chordata; Mammalia; Artiodactyla; Camelidae. The record is from Rfam by way of RNAcentral. RNAcentral also lists the same sequence under 2 other names.